GCGACGCCGCGUGGAGGAAGAAGUCCUUCCGGGCGUAAACUCCUGGACUGGGGGACGAGGAAGGACGGUGCCCCAGUAGAAAGGGACGGGUAACUACGUGCCACCACCCCCGGU
Molecule: ribosomal RNA, 114 nt
Filed under: uncultured Bacillota bacterium
Lineage: Bacteria; Bacillati; Bacillota
Description: uncultured Firmicutes bacterium partial 16S ribosomal RNA
Rfam family: Bacterial small subunit ribosomal RNA
Source: RNAcentral